AUCCAGAUGAGGAGUCCCAAAUAGGACGAAACGCGCGUCGUGGAU
This 45-nucleotide non-coding RNA is filed under the name Schistosoma mansoni. Lineage: Eukaryota; Metazoa; Platyhelminthes; Trematoda; Strigeidida; Schistosomatidae. The record is from RNAcentral.